AAAAGGUUUAAUCUAUGACUAUGGUUAUUAUCUAUGAGGAUAAUGAAAAAUUAACAUUGCUUUUGUAGUAUGCUCUUGUCUUUGUUAACAAUUAUUUAAACCACGAUUGAGGUUUGUGCAAAUUUGAUAUGAAUUGGAGUUCUAGAUUGUGAAGGACGUUUUUACUGCUUAAAUUAUUAUGUCGAAAUGUCUCUCACUUGGUGUUGUCCAAAUUGUCGAAGUAAUUAUGACAAAAAUAGACCAUAUAUUUCUGCAAUCUCUUUUCCGUCGAACGACGUGCUGAAGAAGAAAUGGAUAAAUGUAAUUAAACACAAUUUUACCCCAACAAAAUAUUCAAGGUUAACAUCAUGAUGACAAUUUAUAAAUCCUCUGUAAUUGAAAAAUUGAAGGUAGUACAAUGUUUUAAACCACAAGUGGAGUCUUUCAGAAGUAUCUACAUUCUAAAGAAAGAGCUUCAUCAAGCAAAUUUCUGGACUGCCCAGAUUACAUUUCAAAGGAUGAAAUUUCCCAAGAAGACUUCAGCUUAAAAAUGAUGCAUUACACCAAGCUAUCAAUGACAGAAGCCUUUGAAUUAUGAAAUCUUGGUUUUUUUGGCUGUCUUAGUUUGAAUAUUCAAAAAUGAAGAUAUUGCCCAAUAGUCUUUGGUGCACAGAGCAAAAUAUAUAUAAAAAUGUUGGAAACAUUCAAACCAAUUGUCAAAUCCCUACAUGCAAGCAUCAUUGUUUUCAAAAGGAGUAAAAUUCAAUCAAUUAAAUUUAAGUUCUAGAAAAAAGCAAUACCUGAAAGAACUUUUUCAAUACUGUCAACAUGAUUUCAAGAAUUGGAUCACUUCAGAUUAAAUCAUAGGAAUCAUUCCGUAGAUGUGGUACCUAUUCACCAAAGAUGUUUCAGAUGUAGUGAAACAUAUUUGCUUUUAACAGACCAAAAAAAAAAACACUUCUACCUUAUACUAAAAUCUGGAACACAUGAAUCAUGAGUUGCUCAUAACGGUGCACUGUAGGAUCAAAAGAAUUUACUAAUGGGAAGAUAUCCUCAUAUGUUACCUUUGAUUUCAUUGUAUAACUGAAAUGAAGGUAACUUCUACAGAAAGAUUAUGAAGAAUAUUGGAAAAUUUGUGGAAUGAAUGAAUUACAUCAGCGGAUAUGAUAAUAUGUAUAAUGAGUCGAUGUGCUUGAAUAAUUGACCAGCUCAGUUGGAAAAGUAUUAUUUCAGCAUAUUUUUUCAGUUGGAAUGAAUCACUUCGAGGAAUUAUUUAGAGUCAUGCUAAUAAAAAUAUGAGCAAUUGGAAAGGAUGUGGUCAUCAAGUGCAUUUCAAAAGCAUAUUUGCUGUUACUUUUUGGUUUCUCAUUCUUCAUAGCAUGUUCAGACUUAACAAUUUUUUAGGUUUAUUACCAUUGUUUUUAUAGUUUUCAACUAUUGAAAUAAGAAUAGUGUAAUCAUUUUCAUAAGUAAUGCAAUUAAUGGAAAAUUUGAGUUGUCUCCUUCCAAGAAAAAAUUUGCUUCCUAAUUUUGAGCAUAAUUUUCAACAUCAAGGCUUUCCUUUCCAUUUUAUUGUUUCAUAUUUUCCAAACAUUCAACACAUUCAAAUGAAACUAUGAAAUUAUUCAAAAUUUGUUGUAUAUCUGAAUUUUUUCAACUGUUAUUAUAAUUUCACUGAAACUUCUUCAUCCUCUUUGGCAUUUGAUGAUUGAAAAGAAAUAACCAGUUUGUUCAACACUGAUAAUAUUCAUUAAUAUGUAAAAAUAUUGGAUUUCUCAUAAGUGUCAUCAGUAUUAUCUUUAUUUUAACUUUUCAGGUCAAUGGAAUCUCAUGGGACAAGAAUGACAAUUUUGUUUAAACAGAACUGGUUGUAUUGAAGUUAAAAAAAGCAGCAAAAAUUUCUUAACAAUAACAUCAAGUAUGAAUAUUUUUAUGACUCAUUCCAAACCAAUAUUUCCGAUUACUUAGAGAUGUUGAAUAAAAUGAAUUUGUUUUCAAAAUUAAAGAUUAAUGAAAAAUAUGAGCAUACUUAUUUUUCAGAAGUAUAGAUUAAAAUAUUCAAUAAUUCAAUAGAUAAAUUUAUUCAUUGUGAACUAAAAUUCGCUUUGAGAUUACAUUAUAAAUUAUCAUACAUCGAUGUUUUUUGUGCAGCAAGAUUUAAAUGUUUAAUUUUUUGUAAUAGAUUUGGCAACUGGUUUUGAGAAGUUGCUGAUUAUUAAAUUAUUUGAUUGCUACCCAUAUAAAUAAUUUUCAAGAUAUGGUUUCGAUUUUAAAUCAAAGAAGAAGACUAUCUGGUUCUCUAAAAACCAAAUUGAAGAAUCUGAACGAUUAAUGAGUACAGGGUUUUCUCAAAUGAUUUCAAUAUAAUACAUUAAAAUGUUCUCUACUGAUUUUCACUAAUCCUGGCAACUAUUCUUCAUCAAUUGUGUUUUAUCAAUUAAAGUUAUUUGCAAAUCCUUGAUAAGUAUUUCAAAACUAUUUUUCAGACCACAAAACAUUUUACAAUCUUUUGUAAAGACACUGUAUCCAUUAUAAGUAUCAUUUGAAUUCUUCGUAAUAAUAUAAAUAUAUAUUUUUAAUUUAUUGUUAAUCAUAAACAAAACAAAAUGUUCUUCGUUAUUUUUGUGGAUUAGUAAUUAAUUUGAAAUAAUUAAACUGUGAAUUAUUGUUUAAUAUCUUCAUAGUGCUUCCCAUUUUUAAUUUGGGUAUUAGUUUGAAAUGUGUACUUUUUAUUUGUAAAUAUCAUGGAUCAUUUGCGAAAGUGCAUCCACAUUUCAUUGAAUUGAUUCCCAAUGAGAUUUAUUCAUGAACGUAUUGCUGCAUUUAACAAUUUAAAGUUGUAUCAAUAAACUGAUUUUCAUUUAAAUAAAUAUAUGAAAUUGAA
Harmonia axyridis is the source of this 2863-nucleotide long non-coding RNA. RefSeq lists it as uncharacterized. The record is from RefSeq and is a predicted model, not a curated record. Lineage: Eukaryota; Metazoa; Arthropoda; Insecta; Coleoptera; Coccinellidae. The transcript has 5 exons.